CUUAUCACGAGUGGCAGAGGGGACGGGCCCGAUGAAGUCACGGCAACCGGCUGAAUUGCUUCAGCGGCUCGGUGCCAAAUCCCGCAGCGGAGCACACCCACGAUAGAGGAACGCUGACAGAUAA
This 124-nucleotide non-coding RNA is filed under the name bovine gut metagenome. RNAcentral describes it as "SAM riboswitch (S box leader)". It matches the Rfam family "SAM riboswitch aptamer (S box leader)". From Rfam's summary of the family: The SAM riboswitch is found upstream of a number of genes which code for proteins involved in methionine or cysteine biosynthesis in Gram-positive bacteria. The SAM riboswitch acts at the level of transcription termination control. The record is from RNAcentral.